RNAcentral lists this long non-coding RNA (1765 nucleotides) under Mytilus galloprovincialis (Mediterranean mussel). Lineage: Eukaryota; Metazoa; Mollusca; Bivalvia; Mytilida; Mytilidae. The record is from RNAcentral.
AUGUUUUUUGAGUAGAAUAGAUGGCGGAUCUGAUAAAGACAAUCUCUGUUUCUACAAGAUGGGUUGUAUGGCAAGAACCGUAAGUUCCUCUUAUGAGUCAAUUUGUUUUAAAAUUCUGAAACUAUAAGUCCCAAUACAAGAUCGAUUUACAAUAUGUAUGGCAUUAAAAUGUGGAAUUCUUUGAUAUUGUUUCCUUUAAUUUCACAAAAACGGUUAAUUCAAAAUAAAAACAAUAUAAAACAAACAAACAACAAAAAGAACAAAACAGACCCAUCCUGUCCCCACCAAAAAACAAAAAAAAAGCCAUGAAAAGUUAAAAAAAAAAGAAAAGAAAAAAAAAACCAUCAACACAACAUCAACAUAUAAUUAGAAAAUAAUAAAAAAAAAAUCUCUUACAAAUCGGACUAUGUAAAGAAAAGAAAUAUACAUUCUAAUAAAUUCGUAAACAUGUAGUCGCCUGGUCUGUUGUAUGAAUAAAAGGAGAUUUCUGCAUUUACUUUAUAGUCAUAAGGAUGUUAGAGUUGUUUUUAUCAUUGAUAUCAAAACCUGAAGCACUGCAUUUGGAUAUACUUUAUGCACAGUCAUACUAUGCACCGAAGCGCACAUUGGUUGAAGGUAUCCAAUACAAGUUUUUGGCUUGUUCGUCUCAGUUGUAACUCUUGGAGUUCUUAUUUGGUGAGCAUGUUUGUUAAGCAGCCACCUUCUCUUGUUUUGUAGUCGCCUGAGUGCUGAGUGUCGUUGUAUUCGUUCCAGUUUGUUUGAUAUAAUGUAGGGGUCCCAUACUGUUGCUUCAAAUUCAAAUGUUGAUUUUACUAGAGAAAUGUAAGCGAUUUUUUUUUACAUUCCUGUGGAUACUAUCGUAAAUUACUUCUGAGGAAGCCUAGGGUUGCAUUCGCCUUUUUUGCAACUUUUGUAAUAUGUGUGUUCUACUUUAGGUCUUCUGAUAUCUGAGUAUAAUAGUUGUACUGUUGAAACACUGUCCCAUGUAAGAGGGAGGUUGUGGUGCCAACAAACUUGUUCCAAGUCAGGAGCCUGUACACAGUAGUUGUAAUUUUUUGUUGUUUUUCAUAUUUGUUUUUCGUUCAUUGUUUGUAGACAAACCAGGACGUUAUUGUUCUCGUUUGAAUUGUGUCACAUUUGUCAUUUCGGGGUCAUUUCUAGCUAUCUAUGCAGUACGGGUUUUACUUAUUGUUUGUUGAAGGCCGUACGGUGACCUAUAGUUGUAAACUUAUAUGUUAUUUGGUCUCUGGUGGAGAGUUGUCCCAUUUGAAAUCAUACCACUUCUUCUGAUUUUUAUAUAUAUAUGGCCAUCUUAGAAUAAACAAAGUAUGUGUUUAUAUAAAAUUCUAUUCUACUGGUAAAGUUGAAAAAAGAUAUAUACAUGUAGAAAGACAUUCAAACCAACCACCUCUGGUAAGUGUUUUGAAUGUAAGAAUAUAAACCACAAGUUUUGUAUUUAUUAUCUACAUACGCUUUUUAUGUGUUGUAUAAAUAGUAUUUAGAUAAUGUCAGUUUUGCUUUUUUUUUCAGGACUGUCACCACUACCGUUCAAUCAUCCAUAAGACUGGAACAGCAGUGAUGGCAACGGAUACGAUAGAAUUUUUUGAGUGUUGUGACCAUUCAAAUUGUAAUAACCAUAUUAUACGUAAACAUCCACAACGAUGCAAUCCAUUAACUACUAUAAAACCAUGAACAAUUUCUAGAAAUGUUUGAAAUUAGAAUGUAAUAAAAGCAAUUUGAUAAUUGAUUGAAAAUAAGUUUGAAU